CCGCCCGCCGCCAUGGCGGCCUUCCCCCGCCACCGCCGCUUUCUGGGCGGCUUCGUCUGCGGGGCCGCGGCGGGCACUGCCGUGUCGUGCUGGGCUGCGUGGCGGCUCCUCCGCAGCCAAAGCCAGCCGGAGACGGUCCCCGGGAGAGCCUUGCCAGAGGAACCAGUAGAAGAGUCUCUGCUGGAAAAAUAUGGAUUCCCUGAAGCUGGAACAGAGACCAGAUGUUACACAAAUCACGCACUGUCUUAUGACCAGGCAAAACGGGUGCCUAGAUGGGUGAUUGAACAUAUUUCAAAACAGAAGACACUGGGCAAUGCAGACCGAAGGCACUGUAAAUUCAGACCAGAUCCUAACAUCCCUCUAAUGUUUAGUGCUGUCAAUGAAGACUACCUUGGGAGCGGAUGGUCACGAGGACACAUGGCACCAGCAGGAGAUAACAAAUUUUCAACAAGAGCUAUGGCUGAAACAUUCUACCUUUCUAACAUCGUGCCUCAGAAUUAUGAAAAUAAUGCUGGAUUUUGGAACAGAAUGGAAAUGUAUUGUCGGGAAUUGACUGAGAGAUUUGAGGAUGUUUGGGUAGUUUCUGGACCUCUGACCUUGCCUCAAACAAAUGAUGAUGGAAAGAAGAGUGUUACUUACCAGGUAAUUGGAAAGGAUGAUGUAGCUGUGCCAUCCCACCUCUACAAGGUGAUCCUUGCCAGACGGAGCAGAAAGUCUACAGAACCCUUGGUACUGGGGGCUUUUGUGGUGCCAAACAAUCCCAUAGGCUUCAGUCACCAGCUGACUGAGUUCCAAAACGUGGGAGAUGUUGGUGUGUGUUGCCUGGAGUAACGAAGUGCCAGAUACUUCAUGUGCCUCUUGAUGGUAUUGUGUGUGCUUCACUAGAGUCCAAGCAACCUUUUGGCACUGCGGUGGUGUCAUCCUUUGGAAAAGCCUUCCACCUUCCUUUUCUACUUGAUCCUUUCAGCUGAGAGGUUACAGAUCUCCUGCAGUGCUCACACACCUACGGACAGCCGAAACAGAUCUCGGUGCUACAGACACGUACCUGUCUAGCAAAAAUCCUGUGUUGAGACAGCACCAGUUGUACACGAGGAACUCCAGGUGUCUUCCCUUUCUGCUGACAGCUUGCCAUUACAACAGCAGAAGUGCCGAGUGUGACUCUCCCGCGGAGACCUGCUAUGGAGACCAGCUGCUCCCUAACUCAGUACCUCCUCGGGCUUACGUGCCCCCUUGAAUUCCUGCAAGCCCCAAUUACCAUAAUUUUCAUGCCUCACGGCUUACCGCAUAGACUGGACUCCCUACAUAAUUUUCAGCUCUGUUUGAGCAUGGUUGGUGUUCCUCAGCUCCCGUUGGAGGGUGGCAGCAGGUGGUGAACGGUGAAACCACUUCCAGCACUGGUCUGUGCCGAAGAGUACGUUGACCUGCUCGUCUUCUGCUGGUUUCCUCAUCUGAAAUAACUGUGGAGUCUGGCAUAUAGCAAAAAAAUGUGCUUUCUUUACAAUAGGAAAUAUAAGACAAGGAACAGCAAGGGGGUGAGGCUUUACACACUUGUUUGAGCCACCUGUGUAAGUAGUUGCUUCAGGAUCCUUCAUGAGAACUGUGCUUGUGUCCAUGUCCAUCUGUCAUUCCUGUUGCACACUUAAUCACUUCCCUGCGUGCAUCUGUAGUGACAAUACAAACCUCUGUGAUGCAGCUAAGCAGCAGGAGUCCUGGAAAUGGACAGGUCUGUCCUUCGCUCCUCCACUGUUUUAUUAUGUUUGUUUUUAAAGCUAAAUAACUGAAUAGCGAGGGAAGUUGAUGACUAGGCUGCCUGCAGCCUAAUACAAUGAUUUUCUGCUAUUCCCUUGACUCUUGAUUGUUACUGCUAGUCUUGAAUCAGGGUGAAAGGGAUGGUAAAUAGGAGGCAGACGGGAAGGGAAUGGAGGGGAGAGCUGCCGCUGUGCUCAAGGGCUCUGGGCUGCAGCCCACCGGCUCGGCUUGGUGUGCUUUUGGUAUUUGGCCUUUUGAGGGCAGACUGUUUCCGCAGCGUCAGCCUCGGUGGCCAAAAAUGAUGGGGGAUACGAAUCGAAUGUCUCUGGCCCGUGAUAACUGUCUUUCUGCUCGUGAUACCAAGAUACCCAUGUAAAAUGAAUUGUUUUGAGUGUUAUGUUGACAGCAGUGUGGUGUGAAGCUAAUGAUUUUUCCUGGAUAAAGGUUUUGACAAUAAUGUUUCAAAGUGCCUUUAGAUUGACCACCCAAGUUGUGUAUCUGCUCCGAAGACAAUUUUGACUCCAGCUUCAUGAAUCUCAUUCUAGGUGAGGAUUUAGCCCUGCACUGAUGUCUUGCAAUGCCAUUGUUUUGCAUCUGUAAACAUAGUUGGGGGGCUGAGGGGUGGAAUUUAAAGUUCUGCUUUUUAUUUUUAUGUGGUUGGUUCACUUUGGAGCACCAUUUUGCGAUUUUCAGUUUGUCUUGUAGUAGUAAAGAUGGAUCUCAUUAGCUAGUUGUGCUAUGUGCUGCACUAACCUGUGGAGAAACAGCCCCUGUCCUGAAAAAGUAACACACAUUAGAUAACCGCAGGCAACAACUGGAAGGGGAGAAGCUACACACCCAGAAAUCUGAGGAUUUCUUUCAUCAAAGGGCUUCAGAAGUGCUGCAACACCCACCUUUGAGUGUCCUUUCCGCCACUGGAAUCAUCUCCCUGAGGGAGACACUCAGGUGUCCUGUAAAAUAAAUGGAGGCAAGUAGGUAAGAAAACCCAGGAUUUGCAAAAGCUGCUUACCUGGCCAGUAGUGAUUGCUGGAGAUGAGCACUGGGUUUCUCUGAGGGUUUUCAGUCCUGAGCCUUUUUUUGGAAUCGGCUAGACAAGCUAGGCCUGUGUCAUGGAAAACCAUUAAAUAGAGGUACUUCUGCCAGUACACCACCUGUUUGAGUGAGAUGUCCAAGCAGACACGCUUUUCACAGCCUACUCUGAUUCAGCUCAUGGACUUGAAACCACUGAUCUUCCUAGUGGAAACUUCCAGUUUGUACAAACGCUACCAAACUGGCCAGCUAGGGCUGUGCUGUCCCCAGUCUGCUCACCAGAGGAGCAGCCACAUCAGCCCCAGAGGAUUUGAAGAAGGUGUCCUGCCUGCCACGCACCCUUGUCAUCUGUGCUGGUGGGUGGAAUGGGUUGCUGAAAUAGGGCAGCCUUGCUUUGGCUGCCUUUGGUGGGAGGUCUCCAUGGUGAAGGAGCUCCAAAGAUGCGUCCCAGGUGGAGCCAGUCAGGUGGAUAAACCAGAGCUGCCUAAAGAUGGGACGGCAGAGGAACAGGGAGAGAUUUAUUUGGUGGCAGCUUGCAGAGAAGUGGGGACCUCUGGUACUGUAAUCCCUGGGUCUCUUGAUGUGUUUAACCCAUGCCAGCCUGUGUGAAGAAAACCCCAAAACCUCCUGUGCCCAUCCUGGUCCUGUGUGUUUGUUGGGCAGCACUGAAGCUGUGGAGGCAUUAUAUAUAAACCCCAAAGUGCUCUUGCUAGUAACCUGGCUCAGUGGGGAAGUGAGGAGCAAUUUUGCUGUUAUUUUUGAAUUGUCUUCUGCAGUCACAAGGGAAAAGCUUUUCUCACCAUGCAGCAAAGGAAAUGUAGGAAAUGUUCCUUUUUUUUUCUUUUUUUUUGAUUCAGGUCCAUCUAAUCAGCUCCACCUACACAGUGGUGGUAUAGCCAGUUCUCACAUGCUUCCUAAUAGCCAUCUGCCUGUGCAAUUAAUGGCUUGUCUGCUUUUACCAUAGCUUGGAGGAAAAGACUGAACAAGAGCUUUGAGUAUUUGCUUAAAAUAUCUGCAGUGUCUGUGUGGAUGCUCCAGGAUGGAUGCUCAGCGCAGGCUACAAACAACCCCCACUUUCCUGUAUUGUAAAAUAUUAGAGCAACUGGCCUUUUCCACCCUGCCUUUCAAACAGAGCACAUUUCCCACCUGCCGUGUGAAAAAUUAACAGCUGUGGCAACAUAAUAUUCCCAAAAUGCUCGCUUCCAGGAGCUGAACGCGAGGCUUUUCACGUUGGUUUGAGAGGUACGAUGGCUGGCAUCCCAGCUUCCCCGCUGGUGCGUUCAGCGGGUGGGGAGAGAUGCGGAAAACAGGUCUGGAAUGAAGUGCUUCCAGCUCUGCUUAAGAAACAGUGUGGAGGUAUUUAGCAGAUCACAGAGGUAAAUUUGGUUUGUGUCAAGAAUAAAUAUUUCACAAGACAGCAAAUAAAGUCCUGUGCAAGUUUUCCCUAGCAGCUCUCAGCAGCCGAUGAGGCAGGGCUCGGCAUCGAGCAGGCUGGAGCCAGGGAGGGAAUGGGAGCACCCGCCAAGCUGCUGGUGCCCAACAGCUGUAAGUCCUGUCCCAUCUUUGCAUGGAUCCAUCCAUCUGGAGGAAGACCAGCCCGUCUCCCUGCCAGCCUCCUUUUACUCCCAUGCAUUAAGGAAAAUACGUGUUCCUCAUGCCAUGGCUGGUUUGUGACCCAGCCAAUGCUCUUUGGUCUGCAGUGCCUCCAAAAGCGGGGUGGCCGUGGCCAAGCACCUGGCGAGCCACAGUGGGACACAAAGCGUGGUGAAAUGAAACCAUAGCUGGAUUAGACAGCCUGGCUGUACAAGUGGGCUUGAGCUUGGAUUUAAUUACCAGAGUGUCAUAAUAUGCAAAGCAUCCUGUAAUGUCAAACACGUGUAACGGGGAAAAGCUGCGCAGGGAGAAGCUGUGCAGGAGCAGUGAAAGGUUGCAGCAGAAUUUCCCCAUCCUCCCUUGUCCCAGCUCCAGUCUUCAG
This is an RNA transcript of Haliaeetus leucocephalus (bald eagle), 4753 nucleotides long. It is a transcript of the gene named endo/exonuclease (5'-3'), endonuclease G-like, with no coding region annotated. Lineage: Eukaryota; Metazoa; Chordata; Aves; Accipitriformes; Accipitridae. The transcript has 9 exons. The record is from RefSeq and is a predicted model, not a curated record.